GUUUGAUCAUGGCUCAGAUUGAACGCUGGCGGAAUGCUUACACAUGCAAGUCGAACGGCAGCACGGGGCAACCUGGUGGCGAGUGGCGAACGGGUGAGUAAUACAUCGGAACGUGCCCAAUCGUGGGGGAUAACGUAGCGAAAGUUACGCUAAUACCGCAUACGAUCUACGGAUGAAAGCGGGGGAUCGCAAGACCUCGCGCGAAUGGAGCGGCCGAUGUCAGAUUAGGUAGUUGGUGGGGUAAAGGCUCACCAAGCCGACGAUCUGUAGCUGGUCUGAGAGGACGACCAGCCACACUGGGACUGAGACACGGCCCAGACUCCUACGGGAGGCAGCAGUGGGGAAUUUUGGACAAUGGGCGCAAGCCUGAUCCAGCCAUUCCGCGUGCAGGAUGAAGGCCUUCGGGUUGUAAACUGCUUUUGUACGGAACGAAACGGUUCUCUCUAAUACAGGGGGCUAAUGACGGUACCGUAAGAAUAAGCACCGGCUAACUACGUG
Molecule: ribosomal RNA, 498 nt
Filed under: uncultured bacterium
Lineage: Bacteria
Description: bacterial SSU rRNA
Rfam family: Bacterial small subunit ribosomal RNA
Source: RNAcentral